CUUCCGGGGACUGCUUAGGCGCGUCGUGGGGAGUGGGGUUUGGGCACGCGGAGUGAUUGCUGGCUUGACUCUGGAGGCUUGUCGCUCCCCGACCUGUCCCUGGGAAAGGUGCGGCGUCACUGCUUAGGAACGCUGACCUCGAGAGCUGGUGUUCUCCAGAGCAGAAGGGUUCCGAGGCCUAGGCACACGUACUUGUCUUCCUUUCUGGUCGAGCUAGACACUUCUUCAGAGCAUAGACUUACCGCAGAGUGGGACUGACUUUGGAACCCAACGCACUCCGAGGAUGUGAUUGGGCAGCUCCGUCAACACUCAGCGAGAACCACUGAACAGACUUGAAUGAACACCUGUUGUCUGCCAGACCUUGCCGUCGCUGCUCAGGGGCCUCUGCCUAUAAUUCUGCUUGUUAAUUGAAAUACACCUAAGCCUGGUAAAUGGAGAGUCCAGGAAAGAAUGAGCGAUCCUGGGAGGACAGAAGUGCAGCGGGGUUGGCGCUCGGGAGGGCAACCUCCGGAUAGGUGGCUUUUCUCAUAGGUGGCAUUUCUCGAGGCGGUGCUAGAGGUAAAGGAAAAAGGAAGGUCGGUGGGGCGGUCCUGGGGAGGAUGGACUCUGCUCAUUGUUUCAGUGUGGAAAGAACUAAUCAGCGAAGUGUGUUUUAGAGCCCAGUUUCUUUCAUCUGCUGCUACAGGAUUGGAGAGUUCAAAAUUCCCCUAAGUAAUGACAGUAAGAGAAUGGUGGUUUUUGCCUCCAAACCCGGCUUAACACAAAAGAGACGGUGAGAUUAGAUGAUGGUAGUAUGGUGGGUUUGUCUUGGCUUCAUCGGACUAGCUGGGUGAUUUGGUACAAGGUGUCUUACUUCCGAUGCCCUUCCUCCUACAGACACUGUGAAGAUUAAAUGGAAGGCCCUUGGAGGAGUGUAUGGCACGUAGCUAAGUACCAGCAACUCAAUAAACUGUUGCUAGUUGUUCAGAACAUAUCACAUCAAGAAUGAAUCCUAAUGUAAACAAUGGACUUUGGGGAUAAUGUUCUGUCCACAUAGGUUCAUCAGUUGAAAAAAAAAUACCCCACGCUGGUACAGGAUGUGGAUAGUGGAGGAUUUGGACUUGUGUUGGGACAAGAGUAUACAGAAACUCUGCACUUUCCAUUCAGUUCUGUUGUGAACCUGAAACUGUUCUAAGAAAUAGUGUUAAUAAAAUGUAAAAAAAAAAAAAAAAA
Long non-coding RNA from Lutra lutra (Eurasian river otter), 1212 nucleotides. RefSeq lists it as uncharacterized. The transcript has 2 exons. The record is from RefSeq and is a predicted model, not a curated record. Lineage: Eukaryota; Metazoa; Chordata; Mammalia; Carnivora; Mustelidae.